UACGUAGGGGGCAAGCGUUAUCCGGAAUCAUUGGGCGUAAAGCGCGUGUAGGCGGUUCAGUAAGUCCGCUCUGAAAGCCCAGGGCUCAACCCUGGGAGGCGGGUGGAUACUACUGGACUAGAGUACGGAAGAGGAGAUUGGAAUUCCUGGUGUAGCGGUGAAAUGCGCAGAUAUCAGGAAGAACACCCGUGGCGAAGGCGGCUCUCUGGGACGGUACUGACGCUGAGACGCGAAAGCGUGGGGAGCGAACAGG
RNAcentral lists this ribosomal RNA (253 nucleotides) under uncultured bacterium. RNAcentral describes it as "partial 16S ribosomal RNA". It matches the Rfam family "Bacterial small subunit ribosomal RNA", at positions 524 to 776 of the family's 1533-position model. The record is from RNAcentral.